GGAUGGGCGUAGCUAGUGCGGAGCCUCCAGGCUUUCAUAAAUUUCUACGGGGAUGUGCCCACUUUAGCUCGCUUGCCUCUAGUAUGCAAAAAAAUUGUUUGAGUCAUUGCCUAAAACAAUUAUCAUAUAGAGAAGAAGAAUUAUCUAAAGGUGAAUCGAAAUGUUUGGAGCGUUGCGUUAAAAAAUUUAUUAAAACUUCCGAAAUUUCAAGGAAUUUAUUACUAAAUCAGAG
Long non-coding RNA from Zophobas morio, 232 nucleotides. RefSeq lists it as uncharacterized. NCBI's taxonomy places the organism in Eukaryota, Metazoa, Arthropoda, Insecta, Coleoptera, Tenebrionidae. The record is from RefSeq and is a predicted model, not a curated record. The transcript is spliced from 3 exons.